AUCGCUUCUCUGCUCCUUGGAGCUAAGAUCAAAAGCGCAGUGUCAGUUCUUAUCAGUUUAAUAUCUGAUACAGUCUUCAAAGGACCUAUGUUAAAUUGAUUUUUGAAACAAGGGGAUGGAAUAGGAGCUUGCUCUGUCCACCCCAUGCAUUGACCUGGUAUUGCAGUGUCUCCAGGACCACUGCCUUUCCU
Mauremys reevesii (Reeves's turtle) is the source of this 191-nucleotide small nuclear RNA. RefSeq annotates it as U2 spliceosomal RNA. Lineage: Eukaryota; Metazoa; Chordata; Testudines; Geoemydidae. The transcript has a single exon. The record is from RefSeq and is a predicted model, not a curated record.